RNAcentral lists this ribosomal RNA (447 nucleotides) under uncultured bacterium. Its description in RNAcentral is "bacterial SSU rRNA". It matches the Rfam family "Bacterial small subunit ribosomal RNA", at positions 355 to 825 of the family's 1533-position model. The record is from RNAcentral.
UCGGGAAUUUUGGGCAAUGGGCGAAAGCCUGACCCAGCAACGCCGCGUGAAGGAUGAAGUAUUUCGGUAUGUAAACUUCGAAAGAAUAGGAAGAAUAAAUGACGGUACUAUUUAUAAGGUCCGGCUAACUACGUGCCAGCAGCCGCGGUAAUACGUAGGGACCAAGCGUUGUUCGGAUUUACUGGGCGUAAAGGGCGCGUAGGCGGCAAUUCAAGUCAUCUGUGAAAUCUCCGGGCUUAACUCGGAACGGUCAGAUGAUACUGCUUUGCUAGAGUGCAGAAGGGGCAAUCGGAAUUCUUGGUGUAGCGGUGAAAUGCGUAGAUAUCGGGAGGAACACCUGUGGCGAAGGCGGCCACCUGGUUGGAUACUGACGCUGAGACGCGAAAGCGUGGGGAGCAAACAGGAUUAGAUACCCCUGUAGUCCCUGAGCGGGCUGGCAAGGCGCAU